This 67-nucleotide transfer RNA is filed under the name Anisolampra panfilovi. RNAcentral describes it as "tRNA-Tyr". It matches the Rfam family "tRNA". Rfam says of the family: Transfer RNA (tRNA) molecules are approximately 80 nucleotides in length. Their secondary structure includes four short double-helical elements and three loops (D, anti-codon, and T loops). Lineage: Eukaryota; Metazoa; Arthropoda; Insecta; Blattodea; Blaberidae. The record is from RNAcentral.
AGUAGAAUGGCUGAGAUUAAAGGUGAAAGAUUGUAAAUCUUUUAAGGAGGUUAAAACUCUUCUACUA